RNAcentral lists this ribosomal RNA (253 nucleotides) under uncultured bacterium. RNAcentral describes it as "partial 16S ribosomal RNA". It matches the Rfam family "Bacterial small subunit ribosomal RNA", at positions 524 to 776 of the family's 1533-position model. The record is from RNAcentral.
UACGGAGGGUGCGAGCGUUGUCCGGAAUCACUGGGCGUAAAGGGCGCGUAGGCGGCGCGGGUAGUCAUCGGUGAAAGUUCAGGGCUCAACUCUGAAUCGGCCGGUGAUACUCCCGUGCUCGAGCACUGUAGAGGCAGGUGGAAUUCCGGGUGUAGCGGUGAAAUGCGCAGAUAUCAGGAAGAACACCCGUGGCUAAGGCGGCUCUCUAGUACGGUACUGACGCUGAGACGCGAAAGCGUGGGGAGCGAACAGG